Molecule: long non-coding RNA, 1149 nt
Organism: Cyclopterus lumpus (lumpfish)
Lineage: Eukaryota; Metazoa; Chordata; Actinopteri; Perciformes; Cyclopteridae
Exons: 7
Source: RefSeq, a predicted model, not a curated record
CUUUCAAACUGCUUGAAUCUUCUUGUAUGGUGGAUCGCCGGACUUACUGUCAACUAGGAGAUGCUGUGUCUCCUGUUGGUGAAGUGCUGUGGCAGCCAUGGGAUAGAGCUACAAACAAUGCCUUAGAAUCUAAAGGCAGAUGCACAGCGUGGGACUAAAAGUAAUGCUGAAUGCCGACUGAUGGGGCAUGUGGAGCAGCUGGGCUGCUUGGGGCAGCAGACAACUUGCAGUAAACUGAGACUUCCCUGGUGUAAUCCUCGCAUGCCGGAUAGAUUGCCUGGGUCGUCAGUACACCGCAAUGGUGCAACUCUGUCGGCUCAACCUGAUUUAAGGCAAUAGGUCGCAUUGGGCUCAAUCUCCACACUGUCUUUGAGGCGUGCUCCUGCUAAGUUAAUGAGGUGUUAGGUGUCAAAUCGUUGAGUGUUUGAGGGCUCUCGCGGACAUUUUGAGCCCAUUUUGAGCCCUUUCCGCAAGUCAGCAUUAGAUGUAGACUGCCCUAGGGGAUUAUCCACAAUUCAUUGCAAUGUGCCAUUAAACACGAGGUAACCGGUGGUAUCAUAAAGAUGUAAAUGGAGAAUGGCACAUAUCGGAUGCACAGCGUGGGACUAAAAGUAAUGCUGCAGUCCGACUGAUGAAGCAUGUGGAGCAGCUGGCCUGCUUGCAGUGGACUGAGACUUCAUGGUGUUUAGUGUAAUCCUGCCAGGCCGGAUAAGUUCCUUUCAGUCCACCCGCUGGGAUCUGCCUAGGUUGUCAGUACACCGCCAAGGCUCAACCUGAUCAAGACUGUAACAUACAACACUCGGUCUUAGAGCUCCUUCUAGUCUAUGAGGUCUUGGGGAUGUCCAAAAAAACCUGCUCAAAACCAAAAACCAGUAACUGGAUUAUUUGAAAUGACCUCAUCUUGUGAGGAAAGAGCCUCCAAGACAUUCCAAUAGGAGAGUAAAAAGUAUAAAAAAUGGCCACAAUUAUCUAACCGUGCUGCUGCAACAUUGCCUUUGUUUGGCGCUGCCUGUAUAUAAAUGACUGUCUUGAAGACCCCUUUUCAACCCCAAAGGUUACUAGGAUUUGAUUGCUCCAUCUACAGGAAGUGCUUGUUUUCUGAUCAUGUCAAUGUUAAUGUCUCUGUAAUAAACUUAGUUUGGUACCCAA